Molecule: unclassified non-coding RNA, 378 nt
Filed under: plant metagenome
Description: partial contains 5.8S ribosomal RNA, internal transcribed spacer 2, and large subunit ribosomal RNA
Rfam family: 5.8S ribosomal RNA (bases 1-105)
Source: RNAcentral
GAAAUGCGAUACGUAAUUUGAAUUGCAGAAUUCAGUGAAUCAUCUAAUCUUUGAACGCACCUUGCGCUCCUUGGUAUUCCUUGGAGCAUGCCUGUUUGAGUAUCAUGAAAUCUUCAAAGUAAAUCUUUUGUUAACUCAAUUGGUUUCUACUUUGGUAUUGGAGGUCUUUGCAGCUUCACACCUGCUCCUCUUUGUUCAUUAGCUGGAUCUCAGUGUUAUGCUUGGUUCCACUCGGCGUGAUAAGUUAUCUAUCGCUGAGGACACUGUAAAAGGUGGCCAAGGUAAAUGCAGAUGAACCGCUUCUAAUAGUCCAUUGACUUGGACAAUACUUUUAUGAUCUGAUCUCAAAUCAGGUAGGACUACCCGCUGAACUUAAGC